UGUGAGUGGACGUUUGUUUUAUAAAUGAAUUUUAUGCAGUAAAAAUUUUAUUAAUUGAUCUUGCAUGAAUUAUUUAUGAUUUUUGCUUUCCAAGCAUACAGUUUGAAUUCAAAUGCUUUUAUAAAAAUUUUUUUAUGAUAAAAUGUGAAUGGCUUGGAAAGUAGAAAAGGAAAUCAUAACAGGAUUUAAAGAUUGAGUGAGAAACAGUAUUAUAAUUUUCCUCACAAGGAGCAGACUCUGUUUCGG
This 246-nucleotide long non-coding RNA is filed under the name Prunus persica (peach). Its description in RNAcentral is "long non-coding RNA (PPER_LNC006209)". The record is from RNAcentral. Lineage: Eukaryota; Viridiplantae; Streptophyta; Magnoliopsida; Rosales; Rosaceae.